GCAGGGGAUAGUGGGGUUGAAGUUUGAUCUCUUACAAAUCAUAUAUACAGCUAUCAUAUGUCCACCACUGUAAUCAGUGAUAAAUUCAUAGAAUUCUUUUNNUUUAAAAAAAAAUACAGAAAAGAAAAAAAUAAGAUUAGUAUCAAAGCCGAUACAAAAUACACUUGAAGCGAGGGAUUAAACAUAAAGGAUGAGUCUUGUAGAACUCGAUUAGCAAGCGUGUGGGCUGCUUGACUGUAAUUCCUCAUCACAAAAGAGAAAGAGACCUUCUAAAAAGAAGAAGCCAAGAGUUUGAUAUGUUUAACAACACCUUUUAUGUUCAAAGGAAUAAAGCCUCCAUUAAGAGCGUUGAUUAAAAUUUAAGAGUCUCCGUCACAGACAAUCUUCAUGAAAUCGUUAGCUCUUGCAAGCAAAAUUGAUCCUCCAAGGCCAAAGUUAAGUAUCAAUAUAGUGGGGAUUUGAGGCUUGCCAUGAGAAGAAGAAAUAGAAAACAAACAAACAAAUGGGUGGCAUAGAAUAUAAGCUACAUAGCAGAGAUGUGUAGUCCUUUGAAGGAUACNNNNNNNNUCUGAUGAGAUAUUAAGUGAAGUUUUCUUCCCAUAAAAGGUUAUGUUUAGUUGUUUUUAUGAGGGAUGGAUUUUAUUUUUA
Molecule: unclassified non-coding RNA, 648 nt
Filed under: Hevea brasiliensis (rubber tree)
Lineage: Eukaryota; Viridiplantae; Streptophyta; Magnoliopsida; Malpighiales; Euphorbiaceae
Source: RNAcentral